AACGAACGCUGGCGGCAUGCCUAACACAUGCAAGUCGAACGAUCCCUUCGGGGAUAGUGGCGCACGGGUGCGUAACGCGUGGGAACCUGCCCUUAGGUUCGGCAUAACUCAGAGACAUUUGAGCUAAUACCGGAUAAUGUCUUCUGACCAAAGAUUUAUCGCCUUUGGAUGGGCCCGCGUUGGAUUAGCUUGUUGGUGGGGUAAAGGCCUACCAAGGCGACGAUCCAUAGCUGGUCUGAGAGGAUGAUCAGCCACACUGGGACUGAGACACGGCCCAGACUCCUACGGGAGGCAGCAGUGGGUAAUAUUGGACAAUGGGCGAAAGCAUGAUCCAGCAAUGCCGCGUGAGUGAUGAAGGCCUUAGGGUUGUAAAGCUCUUUUACCCGGGAUGAUAAUGACAGUACCGGGAGAAUAAGCCCCGGCUAACUCCGUG
Molecule: ribosomal RNA, 433 nt
Filed under: uncultured bacterium
Lineage: Bacteria
Description: partial 16S ribosomal RNA
Rfam family: Bacterial small subunit ribosomal RNA
Source: RNAcentral